AACGGAAGUGAUAAUCGUUGUUAAGCAUCCGCUUUCAACCACUCGGCCACGCCCAGCGACCCAAGUCAACAGAAACGCAACCAACCAUUAUCUUUUCCUGAAAAACCUCCCCUCACAAUCCUCGCCCGAUCGAAAAGGAUCGUGAUCCCAGAUCGCUGCCGUGUCAAUGCUGCGCCGCCCCGGCCCGAGCACCGCCGCCUCGUCCCUGCCCUGACCCCGCCGCAUCCUCCAGUUCUGCCGUCGACGCUGCGCCGCCUCGACCCGCAUGUCGCCGCUUUAUCCUCUCCCGUGCUGCGCCGACGGCUGACCGGCACGCCGCCGCCUCAUUGCCCCGAUCGCGAUGGCCCCUGAAUCCCCUGACCCUGUUGCCUGGACCGCCACAUCGUGCUCCAUCUCGUCCGCUGCUGUUCUCAGCUGAUCUGGUUGAUCCCUAGUGACUUAGUUAUUAGUUAUUGAUCAUGCCCCAAGUUUCUCGAUGGAAUUGCAAUUGUGAAGAAUUAUUAGCAGAGAAUUCUUAACCAGGGAUGGUUCCAAAGAUGCUUGGCACAAAAAUUUAGCCAUUGGUGAAAGCAAAUAAUUUGAUCCAAAGAGUAACUCUGGCUGUUAAGUGACAAAUUGAGAUCUCAUUCUGCUACAUGAACAAUGGGAAAGCCAACCCAUACUUCGGAUUUUUUCCAAGCUGUAAUGGGAUGUUAAAUGUUCAUUGCCAUUACAUAUCUUUUCCUGUAAUCCAGUGACAUCUAUUUUAUGGUGAAGUGUUGCCUUGAGGAUGAUGGGAUAGAGGAAGAAGAAAUUGCUAAGGAGAAGAUAUUGUUGUUGCUGCCAAGUGCCCAAGUUACAGAAACUAAUGUUGAUCUGGUCACAGAGAAAAUUCAAGAUGAUGUUUUUUUUUUUGCAAGAUUCAACAUAUGUUUGUACUACACUCACUAAUAUGCUGUGGUGUAUACACAAGUUGUACUUAUAAGAGAUUUGUGAAUUAAUAUAUUGUGAUUUUUUUCUU
This 1000-nucleotide small RNA is filed under the name Oryza sativa Japonica Group (Japanese rice). Its description in RNAcentral is "sRNA Os06g0277850". The record is from RNAcentral. Lineage: Eukaryota; Viridiplantae; Streptophyta; Magnoliopsida; Poales; Poaceae.